AACACUGUCAGUGUCUAAAGUGUCAGACUGGGAACUGGACACGGUAGCGUACGCCUGUCAUCCCAGCACUUAGGAGGCAGACAGGUUUGAGAGUACAAAGUCAUCAUCCUUGGUCACAGAGUAAAUAGGACAGCCUGGGUUACACGAGACCCCGUCUAACCUGAGCCCCCCAACCUCCUCACCAAAUAGGGGCUGGUGAGAUGGUCUCUGCAGCUAAAGGUGAUUGCUGUGCAAGCCUCAGAACCUGAGUGUCAUCCCCAGAACCCACCGUGGGUUGUCCAACCCACCAAAGUUGUCCUCUGACCUCCUCAUGUGCUAUGGCAUGUGUGUACCCUCACUCAUACAGACACACACGUGCACUAGUAAAUAAGAUCAACAUUUAAACAAAGGUUACAGCCCAAUAGCAUCAAGUUUGCCUAGCAUGCGUAAGGCCUUUGGCUAAUCUCUGGUACCUAAGUAAAAUAUCACAACAAAUUGUGUGCACAAUACCAAACUAUCUUCAAAAUCUAGGAUGUAUUUUUCACUUUGAGUGCAUUCUAAUUCAGAGUGGAGAUAGCUUGAGCUGUCAGUGGCUUCAUGUGGCCCUCUUAAGAUGACAACAGCCACAGGCCCUUCACAGUAAAGAACCUUAACAGUGAACAGCAAAAGCCAAGAGCUCCUCCAUCGGAGCUCCAGAUUCCAGGUAGUUCUAAUCCAAGCUACUUAGUCAGCUGGCAGCAUGUUCUAGUGCUGAGGAGUCUGUUGUGAACACUGGAACUACUCACUUCUGAGCCUUAACACGUUCAAACCUAGAUGUGGGCCAGGUGUUCAGAAUCCAAGGCCUCGUGCAUGCUAAAGACACAUUUUAUGCAUAUAAAGACUUUCGGAGGCAGGGUCUCGUGUAGCCCAGACUGCUUUAAACUCCACGUCCUCCUGUGUCAGCCUCCUGAAUACUGGUUUGGCAGACAUAUCCGUUACUGCCACACCAGGCAAGUUCCCUCUAGUGCCUGCUGCUUCUGUGCUGACAUAUGUUGGAAUGGAAACCUGCAAUCUUGUGAAUUCCCUUAGGCAGUAGGAACAGAUUCCAAACUUCACACUGAAGCAGGAGACCUUACUUUAUUAUUGAUUUAUUUUUGAGACAGGGUCUCACUAUGUAGCUCUGGCUGUCCUGAAACUCACUCUGUAUACCAGGCUGGCCUUGAACCCUCAGAGACCUGCCUGCCUCUCCCUCCCCAGGGCUAGGAUUAAAGGUUGUGCCUUAGGCAUCCUUAACUCCUAGGCCAGCUCUCCAGCCACCUGUGUUCCUAUGUUAUAACCCUUUCUCAGGUGAGUGCAGACAGGCACAGAAAGUUUGGCUAGCCCUGCAAUACAGCUCUAUGCAGUUGCAUCAAGAGUCAACUUGUCAACUGGCAAUCAGUAUUUUCCUAAGGAUUCUUAAAUGGUUCCAAGGUAUGGAUUCGUGAUCAUCGUUGCUUAAGGCCCCUUAGGAAGAGAAAGCAGAUCCACCUGUCAAACCAGCAGCUGCUGACACUGGAAAGUGGCCCAAGAGGCAAGGUAACUCCCACUUUCUCUCCUGAGGGGGCAUUAAAUUCUUACAGGUGCAUUCGAUUAAAAUUAAAUAUUUAAUAACACCUAGCGAUGACAGCGUAUAUAUAAACAGCACGUGGGGAGCAGAGGUUAGUGUCAGGAUAAGGCAGGUACCCACGUUCCAAACAACCCAACAAAUCAAGGGAAGUGACCUUACGACAUUUUUGGGAAGCUCGACAUCUCCGGGGUAUUGUGUUAUCUGGAGGUUCUCAAAGGACGGGAAACCACAGACCCAGAAAGUACCGAAUGAAAAUCACAAGCCUUGUUUUUUUGUCAGCAGAUUUUGAAGUGGAAACGAAGAGAGAAGAAUCGUGACGUUUAGAAUAAAGCCCUCCCUGCCCAGUGCCUCCACCAAGUCAAAGGGCAUCACGGAGCAAGCGGGAAGGGACUGGAGUUUGCAGAGCAAAAGGGAUGUGCAGGGAAGCCCUGUCGACUCGAAAGUGACCCCCUCAGGCCUAGGAGGAGUGGGAGGCAGAUGGGCUCCUCCCUGUUGCAAAGGACGCCUGAGUUCGGAUGCGGGAUAAUGAGCCACUCCCCUGGGGGAACUUAGGUAAUGUCCAGUGAACUUAGCAAGGAGAGCAUCUUGGCCUUGGGCAGUAUAAAUAUAGCAGGUACUUGUGUGAGUAUGGAAUGUGUCAUGAGCAUAUAUGCAGGUGGAUGUUGGAUCCCCUGGACCUGGAUGGAGCUCUAGAAGUUGUGAACUACCUGAUGUGGGUGCUGAAACCCAAACCUGGGUCCUCAGAAAGAGCAGUCCACACUGGCAACCACCUUCUCCAGCCCCUUGUGGUGUAGGGGUGGGGUGAGGGGGUGUGGUACGUGGUUGGGGGCGGGACUUUGUGCAAGUGCAUACAGAGGCCAGAGCUGGAGUGUUGUGAGUCGCCUGACCUUAGUGGAGGAAGUGAACUUUGGUCCUCUGCAGGAACUGGAUCAACCGCUGAGCCAUCUCCUCAGCCCUAUAAAGAGUCUUCGUAACAGAA
Long non-coding RNA from Mesocricetus auratus (golden hamster), 2543 nucleotides. RefSeq lists it as uncharacterized. The record is from RefSeq and is a predicted model, not a curated record. The transcript is spliced from 4 exons. Lineage: Eukaryota; Metazoa; Chordata; Mammalia; Rodentia; Cricetidae.